This 66-nucleotide transfer RNA is filed under the name Polyplax asiatica. Its description in RNAcentral is "tRNA-Thr". The record is from RNAcentral. Lineage: Eukaryota; Metazoa; Arthropoda; Insecta; Psocodea; Polyplacidae.
GCCCCUGUAAUCUAUUCUUAAGGAUAGCAUACUUGUAAUAUGCCUGAGGCCCAUUGCCCGGGGGCA